CGUCGUCUGGGUGUUUAUACAUAUUAGUUUUUCGUGCUUGAGUUAAUCUUUUUGGUUAGACGAUG
RNAcentral lists this transfer RNA (65 nucleotides) under Echinostoma miyagawai. Its description in RNAcentral is "tRNA-Glu". The record is from RNAcentral. Lineage: Eukaryota; Metazoa; Platyhelminthes; Trematoda; Plagiorchiida; Echinostomatidae.